This 342-nucleotide unclassified non-coding RNA is filed under the name Hevea brasiliensis (rubber tree). The record is from RNAcentral. Lineage: Eukaryota; Viridiplantae; Streptophyta; Magnoliopsida; Malpighiales; Euphorbiaceae.
GGCAAAUGGAUUGAUAGUGCUGUCAAACGAGCUACUUGGUAGGUGUCUGUGUGAAGAAGCAGUCAUCUGAGGAGGGAGAGUGAUAAAUUGGGGUCUCACUCCUUGAAUAUGUGGUGGUAGAUGACGAAGGUUUGGGUGCCCUUGAGGAAUGGAUGGAUAUAUAAAACUAGUCAAACCUCCAUUUCCGUUUGUUACUUGAUAUCCUCGCACGCUGAUAUUUCCACCAUCUUCACAGCCUUGAGUAUCACCAGGUAGAUAAGGUAGACGAGCACUAUGAUUCCAGGCCCAUGUUUCACUCUCCCUAGCACUGCUGUUGAACUGCAAGCCUGACCAAAAAUUGCC